This is a non-coding RNA of Chlorocebus sabaeus (green monkey), 46 nucleotides long. Lineage: Eukaryota; Metazoa; Chordata; Mammalia; Primates; Cercopithecidae. The record is from Rfam.
CUAAAGGUUUCAUUUGAUACCACCAAAUUAUUCAAAUAAGGUCAAU